Molecule: long non-coding RNA, 606 nt
Organism: Nothoprocta perdicaria
Lineage: Eukaryota; Metazoa; Chordata; Aves; Tinamiformes; Tinamidae
Exons: 2
Source: RefSeq, a predicted model, not a curated record
GACGCAUAAGCAAAAGGAAAUAAUAUAUAUAUAUAUUUGAUAUCCUAGGUAGAAACGUCGAUUGCACCGGACUAUAGAGCUUUUCAAAGCCUCUUUUAAUGAUGGCAAGUGACAUUUGUGAUCACCAUGUGGUGAGCAGAGGAAACUCCCCUCUUUUCCAUCCUCAUCUCAGGAGCCUUCACUCAAGGAGCAAAGGUCUGUGUGAUCAGUAUCUUAAAACGUUGGGGACUGAACCUUUACUUCAUUGCUGUCUGYUAUCUCUCAGGAACUGGUGGAUCAAGAACUUCUUCUCCAGCAACAAACCUACUGCAACGAGCCUACAGAGAUGGACAAUACCAUAGCCAGACUCGGACACUGACUAACUCAUAGAUGGAGGGUCAUACUUCUGAGUAUGUGUGGGCUAUCUUUACCAUUCAUGCAGGAACAGAGAACAACAUUUCAUCAGACUAAGAGAACAAGUCAAAAAAACUAUUAAUUACGUUUAUUGCAGAUCCGAGAUUAACUCAUUUUUUCUCCUUCCUGUAAACUAGUGCUUUUAUUUUUGUUGGGGUAAUGUAUUCUGUGAUGACAUCAUGUAAAUUACAAAUGAAGCAAAAGAUGUAAUUA